AUCUGAGCCUGCUUGGGCUGCCCAGCCCCCACUGGUUCUGGUCUGCUCAGGUUGUCAUAGUUCCCAUUCAGACUAGCUUGGGCUGCCCAGCCCCGACUGGUUCUGAUCUGCUCAGGUUGUCACAGUCCCCAUUCAGACUAGCUUGGGCUGCCCAGCCCCCACUGGUUCUGAUCUGCUCGGAUUGUCCUAGCCCUCUUUAAGAUUUGCUUGAGCUGCCCAGCCCCCAGUGGAUCUGAGCCUGCUUGGGCUGCCCAGCCCCCACUGGUUCUGGUCUGCUCAGGUUGUCAUAGUUCCCAUUCAGACUAGCUUGGGCUGCCCAGCCCCCACUGGUUCUGAUCUGCUCAGGUUGUCUCAGUCCCCAUUCAGACUAGUUUGGGCUGCCCAGCCCCCACUGGUUCUGAUCUGCUCAGGUUGUCACAGUCUCCAUUCAGACUAGCUUGGGCUGCCCAGCCCCCACUGGUUCUGAUCUGCUCAGGUUGUCACAGUCCCCAUUCUGAUUAGCUUGGGCUGCCCAGCCCCCACUGGUUCUGAUCGGCUCCUGUUGUCCCAGCCCCCUUUAAGAUUUGCUUGAGCUGCCCAGCCCCCAGUGGAUCUGAGCCUGCUUGGGCUGCCCAGCCCCCACUGGUUCUGAUCUGCUCGGAUUGUCCCAGCCCUCUUUAAGAUUUGCUUGGGCUGCCCAGCCCCCACUGGUUCUGAUCUGCUCAGGUUGUCACAGUCCCCAUUCAGACUAGCUUGGGCUGCCCAGCCCCGACUGGUUCUGAUCUGCUCCUGUUGUCCCAACCCUCUUUCUGAUUUGCUUGAGCUGCCCAGCCCCCAGUGGAUCUGAGCCUGCUUGGGCUGCCCAGCCCCCACUGGUUCUGAUCUGCUCGGGUUGUCUCAGUCCCCAUUCAGACUAGCUUGGGCUGCCCAGCCCCCACUGGUUCUGAUCUGCUCAGGUUGUCACAGUCCCCAUUCAGACUAGUUUGGGCUGCCCAGCCCCCAGUGGUUCUGAUCUGCUCGGGUUGUCUCAGUCCCCAUUCAGACUAGUUUGGGCUGCCCAGCCCCCACUGGUUCUGAUCUGCUCGGAUUGUCCUAGCCCUCUUUAAGAUUUGCUUGGGCUGCCCAGCCCCCACUGGUUCUGAUCUGCUCAGGUUGUCACAGUCCCCAUUCUGACUGGCUUGGGCUGCCCAGCCCCCACUGGUUCUGAUCUGCUCAGGUUGUCACAGUCCCCAUUCUGACUGGCUUGGGCUGCCCAGCCCCCACUGGUUCUGAUCUGCUCAGGUUGUCACAGUCCCCAUUCUGACUGGCUUGGGCUGCCCAGCCCCCACUGGUUCUGAUCUGCUCAGGUUGUCACAGUCCCCAUUCUGACUGGUUUGGGCUGCCCAGCCUCCACUGGUUCUGAUCUGCUCAGGUUGUCCCAGCCCCCGUUCUGACUGGCUUGAGCCGCCCAGCCCCCACUGGUUCUGAUCUGCUCCGGUUUUCCCAGCCCUCUUUCUGAUUUGCUUGAGCCGCCCAGCCCCCAGUUGAUUUAAGCCUGCUUGGGCUGCCCAGCCCCCACUGGUUCUGAUCUGCUCCGUUGUCCCAGCCCCCAUUCUGACUUGCUUGAGCCGCCCAGCCCCCACUGGUUCUGAUCUGCUCCGGUUGUCCCAGCCCCUGUUCUGACUUGCUUGAGCCGCCCAGCCCCCACUGGUUCUGAUCUGCUGGGGCUUCCCAACCCCCACUAAGAUACCCAAUAUAAUAAGCUUUCAUCAACUGUGAUGGACUUGGCUCUUUUAAACAGCAUUGUGAGUCAGUGAUUCAAUGAUUCUAAUACACUUGGGAUGGAAAAUGUCAUGCACAUCCAGAGAGAAAACUAUGGAGACUGAAUGUGGAGCAAAGCUUAUAAUUGUUGUUUGCUUGCUUGUUUUUUGUUUUUUUUUUUCCUUCUUGUGGUUUUUUUUCCCGUUCUGAUCUGAUUUUUCUUGUACAGCAUUACAGAUAUGGAAAUGGUUAGAGGAAUUGCCCAUGUUUAACCUAUAUCUAAUUGCAUGAUGUCUUGAGGAGAGGGAGGUGGGCAAGGGAAGGAAAAAAUUUUGGAACACAAGGUUUUGCAAAGGUGAAUGUUGAAAACUAUUUUUGUGUAUAUUUAAAAAAAUAAAAUAAAAUAAAUUGUUGAUAAUCUUGGGGGAA
Molecule: long non-coding RNA, 2148 nt
Organism: Antechinus flavipes (yellow-footed antechinus)
Lineage: Eukaryota; Metazoa; Chordata; Mammalia; Dasyuromorphia; Dasyuridae
Exons: 2
Source: RefSeq, a predicted model, not a curated record